AGACUUCAGUUUCUGUUCUCUAUCGAUUUUUCAGCCAUGUCUGUCGACUUUGAUUUUCUCUGCUAAAAUAACUUGUGGGCAAAUUUCCACUGUUCGCUAUAGUUGUGUCUUGUCUUCAGUUAUGCUUGGAGUCCCCUUUAAGAGAUGGUGUUCCCCCCACCCCCCCAUGCUGAAAAAUUCAUCCCUCAGGUUGAUAGCACAGCAGGCAGGCAGGCAUUUUCCUUUCUGUCUUUCAUGUAAUGACCGUGAAAUCCCUUCCAUAAGAACAUAGAGGUUUUGUUCUGUUCUGUUUCUAUUUUCAGAACAAUAAGUCUCCAAUGCACCACCACCCACCGGAAAAAGAGCACACAGUGACUGACAAGGUCUUUGAGGAUUCACCAUGCUGUCUUCCACAGUGGUUGAACUAAUUUACACUCUCACCAAUGGAACCCUGGGUGGCAGGUACUAUUGGCACCAUUUUCCAGAUAAAGAAAAUGAAGUUCUAAGCAGUCAAAUGACAUGUCAAGAUCACCCAACUGAUAUGAAAGGCAAGAUUCAAGGAUCACACCAACUAGAGG
Molecule: long non-coding RNA, 557 nt
Filed under: Homo sapiens (human)
Lineage: Eukaryota; Metazoa; Chordata; Mammalia; Primates; Hominidae
Description: HSALNT0145863
Source: RNAcentral